AGCGAACGCUGGCGGCAGGCCUAACACAUGCAAGUCGAACGAACUCUUCGGAGUUAGUGGCGGACGGGUGAGUAACACGUGGGAACGUGCCUUUUGGUUCGGAAUAACUCAGGGAAACUUGUGCUAAUACCGAAUGUGCCCUUCGGGGGAAAGAUUAAUCGCCAUUAGAGCGGCCCGCGUCUGAUUAGCUAGUUGGUGAGGUAACGGCUCACCAAGGCGACGAUCAGUAGCUGGUCUGGGAGGAUGACCAGCCACACUGGGACUGUGACACGGCCCAGACUCCUACGGGAGGCAGCAGUGGGGAAUCUUGCGCAAUGGGCGAAAGCCUGACGCAGCCAUGCCGCGUGAAUGAUGAAGGUCUUAGGAUUGUAAAAUUCUUUCACCGGGGACGAUAAUGACGGUACCCGGAGAAGAAGCCCCGGCUAACUUCGUG
This 433-nucleotide ribosomal RNA is filed under the name uncultured bacterium. RNAcentral's name for it is "partial 16S ribosomal RNA". It matches the Rfam family "Bacterial small subunit ribosomal RNA", at positions 29 to 507 of the family's 1533-position model. The record is from RNAcentral.